Molecule: small nucleolar RNA, 132 nt
Organism: Mastomys coucha (southern multimammate mouse)
Lineage: Eukaryota; Metazoa; Chordata; Mammalia; Rodentia; Muridae
Product: small nucleolar RNA SNORA17
Exons: 1
Source: RefSeq, a predicted model, not a curated record
ACUGCCCCUAGAAGUGUUUCCAGAGUGAGUGUUUUAUCACAUCUUCUUCAGUGGGUGGAAGAGAAGAGAAAGACUAUGUCUAUGUUCAGUGUUAUGAACUAGCAAUGUCUGAAAGACGACUAGCUUUGCAUU